GUCAUAGGCAAUCAUAAUGAAGGUAGAUUUGAUCACACUCGAUUGUCGUCGCCACUACCACUUCCUAACACCAGCAACUACACAUGCACCACCUCACCACAACCACAUAUACUACCAGCAAUAGAACGAUCGGUACCACACAACACCACCACCAAUAGAAUCACCUACACAUCAAAAAAUUUGGAAUUUGAGUGCUUUACAGCACUACCCAAAACUAGAUCUCAAAUAAAGAAAAACCAGAUCUCCAACCACCAUAGUAGAUCCGUUCGAAAAAAAAUAAUAAUAACCAACAUACAGUGGCGUCACUACAAUAAGCUUGCAACGACGCGCACUCACAUAUAGAAUAAUCAAAACUCACCUGCAAAAUAGAAUGUAAUUAGAACAAAGUACAUCGUCGCUAUUGCACAGUGGUGAUGUCAUCACCUCUGUGCAUCAGUGAAGAUAUGGGCAGCUUCAUGGGGCUUUAUGGGUGAGGCACCAAAUAACGAGUACAACAUCGCGUAGCAGCAUCAACACAUGGAGUGGCACUGUCAUUGCCGAAUGUAUGCAACACGGCUAUGACUUCCGGCGAUGCUGCUAUGGUCUCUCCACGGUGGCUUUCGCUGGAAAACACGAAAAGAUAGUAGGUAAUCAUCGUCGGCACCGCCUCUGGUACGAGAAGCAUUACCGACGCUGCUGCUAGUUCAAAUACUGCGAGUCACUACUUCCAGAAGCAACGAUGUCGUCGUUGUGGCGAAUCUUCCAAUGACGAUGGAGAUGGUGGGUAAGGGAUAGAUGGGUGAGCAGGUAAAGAGAGAGAAGGAAGAAGGUGAGAGGUUUGAAAAUGAAAUUGAUUUUGGGAUGAAUGGGAUUUUGGGGUGGGCGUAGG
RNAcentral lists this long non-coding RNA (868 nucleotides) under Olea europaea subsp. europaea. Lineage: Eukaryota; Viridiplantae; Streptophyta; Magnoliopsida; Lamiales; Oleaceae. The record is from RNAcentral.